AUGUCCCACCUCUUGUUUGCCUCAAGAACUUUACCGACCAUAACAAGAGGGAAUAGAUCUUUUCCGUCUGCAAAAUUAGAAGUGGCCUAUAUGUUUGUGGCAAGGCCUGUUAUGCAUGUCAUUCAGAAGGAAGUCCCUAUUUCACCUUCCCCACUCAGCGCAAGUCUCUGCACUACAGUCUUGACACUGGAAGCUAGUUCACCAACUGAAUUGUGCAAGAUCUUGUUUGCUACUUCAUCGCCGGCUUCGGCAGAUUGUACCACAACAGGGAGAAUGUCAGCGAUGCGUGCCCAAGAUUGGUCUUCAUAUGUCCAACUGCCAUGA
RNAcentral lists this ribosomal RNA (324 nucleotides) under Triticum aestivum (bread wheat). Its description in RNAcentral is "partial small subunit ribosomal RNA". Lineage: Eukaryota; Viridiplantae; Streptophyta; Magnoliopsida; Poales; Poaceae. The record is from RNAcentral.